This 428-nucleotide ribosomal RNA is filed under the name uncultured bacterium. RNAcentral describes it as "partial 16S ribosomal RNA". It matches the Rfam family "Bacterial small subunit ribosomal RNA", at positions 354 to 796 of the family's 1533-position model. The record is from RNAcentral.
GUGGGGAAUAUUGGGCAAUGGGCGAAAGCCUGACCCAGCAACGCCGCGUGAAGGAAGAAGGUUUUCGGAUUGUAAACUUCUGUCCUCAGGGAAGAAGGAAGUGACGGUACCUGAGGAGGAAGCCCCGGCUAACUACGUGCCAGCAGCCGCGGUAAUACGUAGGGGGCGAGCGUUGUCCGGAAUGACUGGGCGUAAAGGGCGCGUAGACGGCCGUCUACGUCUGGAGUGAAAGUCCUGCUUUCAAGGUGGGAAUUGCGUUGGAGACUGGAGGGCUUGAGGGCAGAAGAGGUAAGUGGAAUUCCCAGUGUAGCGGUGAAAUGCGUAGAGAUUGGGAGGAACACCAGUGGCGAAGGCGACUUACUGGGCCGUAACUGACGCUGAGGCGCGAAAGUGUGGGGAGCAAACAGGAUUAGAAACCCUUGUAGUCC